This 699-nucleotide long non-coding RNA is filed under the name Homo sapiens (human). RNAcentral's name for it is "HSALNT0190125". Lineage: Eukaryota; Metazoa; Chordata; Mammalia; Primates; Hominidae. The record is from RNAcentral.
GUUAAAAGGAUGUGGACCAGGCAGAAACAGCCAGGAUAGUCCUAAAAAAUAUUGGGGAAAUGAUUGAGGUAAUGUAUCGUGGAGCUGGAAGGAAGGACUUGAAAUCCAAAGAAGCUGAAAGAUGGUGAGAAAAUGGACAGCUGGAGGAACUGAAGGUUUUGAUAUGGUUGAAGUGAAGGUGAAAUUAGAGGAGAGAAGAAGGGCUGGGAGGCAGUAGGUGGUGAUUUUGGAGUCAAAACAUUCCAUAUAAUGGGUGCAGGAAAAUGUUUCAGGAAAACGUGUUUAAAGUAAACUAGGUUUAUAAAAACCAAAAUCUGUAUCUUCCAUACAAAAUGGAAUUACGCAAUUUUUAUGUGUCCAUAAAUGUGUUCCAUGGGUGAUAAAAUCAAUAAAAGUACACUUUCUUCCACUGAGGACUCUACAAUGAUUUUUUGAUUUACUAAAAGAUUUUUCACUUUUCACACAAAUCCAUCAUACAUUUUAUAAAAUAAUAAACAAUUUCUAAUAUGGGCAUAUGAUGAUGACAUUUGACACAUACAAAUGGGUCCUGUACACCAAUUUUACAAAGGUAUUAAAUGUGGAUUUUUUCUCAGCGUUCCCAGUUUAGAAAAUAUUUCAGGAAAUUACGUUCUUAUAAUAAAUUUUUAGCAACUGUACAGAACAGUGGUUCUCAAAGUGCGUCCCCUGACGAGCAGUAUA